RNAcentral lists this ribosomal RNA (402 nucleotides) under bacterium. RNAcentral's name for it is "partial 16S ribosomal RNA". It matches the Rfam family "Bacterial small subunit ribosomal RNA", at positions 355 to 776 of the family's 1533-position model. The record is from RNAcentral.
UGGGGAAUUUUGCACAAUGGGGGAAACCCUGAUGCAGCGACGCCGCGUGAUUUAGAAGGCCUUCGGGUUGUAAAAAUCUUUUCUAUGGGAAGAAAAUGACAGUACCAUAGGAAUAAGGACCGGCUAAUUACGUGCCAGCAGCCGCGGUAAUACGUAAGGUCCGAGCGUUGUCCGGAAUCAUUGGGCGUAAAGGGUACGUAGGCGGGUAAGCAAGUUAGAAGUGAAAUCCUAUAGCUCAACUAUAGUAAGCUUUUAAAACUGCUCAUCUUGAGGUAUGGAAGGGAAAUUGGAAUUCCUAGUGUAGCGGUGAAAUGCGCAGAUAUUAGGAGGAAUACCGGUGGCGAAGGCGACUUUCUGGCCAUAACCUGACGCUGAGGUACGAAAGCGUGGGUAGCAAACAGG